GAUGAACGCUGGCGGCGUGCCUAAUACAUGCAAGUCGAGCGAACAGACGAGAAGCUUGCUCCUCUGACGUUAGCGGCGGACGGGUGAGUAACACGUGGAUAACCUACCUAUAAGACUGGGAUAACUUCGGGAAACCGGAGCUAAUACCGGAUGAUAUUUUGAACCGCAUGGUUCAAUAGUGAAAGACGGUUUUGCUGUCACUUAUAGAUGGAUCCGCGCUGCAUUAGCUAGUUGGUAAGGUAACGGCUUACCAAGGCAACGAUGCGUAGCCCACCUGAGAGGGUGAUCGGCCACACUGGAACUGAGACACGGUCCAGACUCCUACGGGAGGCAGCAGUAGGGAAUCUUCCGCAAUGGGCGAAAGCUUGACGGAGCAACGCCGCGUGAGUGAUGAAGGUCUUCGGAUCGUAAAACUCUGUUAUUAGGGAAGAACAAAUGUGUAAGUAACUGUGCACGUCUUGACGGUACCUAAUCAGAAAGCCACGGCUAACUACGUG
Molecule: ribosomal RNA, 497 nt
Filed under: uncultured bacterium
Lineage: Bacteria
Description: partial 16S ribosomal RNA
Rfam family: Bacterial small subunit ribosomal RNA
Source: RNAcentral